RNAcentral lists this ribosomal RNA (776 nucleotides) under uncultured Neocallimastigales. Its description in RNAcentral is "partial large subunit ribosomal RNA". It matches the Rfam family "Eukaryotic large subunit ribosomal RNA", at positions 23 to 639 of the family's 3401-position model. The record is from RNAcentral. Lineage: Eukaryota; Fungi; Neocallimastigomycota; Neocallimastigomycetes; Neocallimastigales.
ACACGCAUGACACACUGCAUAUCAAUAAGCGGAGGAAAAGAAACUAACAAGGAUUCCCUUAGUAACGGCGAGUGAAGCGGGAAGAGCUCAAAUUUGAAAUCUUCAAGGUUCUACCUUGACGAAUUGUAGUCUAUAGAAGUGUUUUCCUGUUAGUAGAGUGGCAAAAGUUCUUUGGAAUAGGACAUCAUAGAGGGUGAGAAUCCCGUAUUUGGUCAUUCUUUCUAGCUUUGUGAUACACUUUCAACGAGUCGGAUUGUUUGGGAAUGCAGUCCAAAAUGGGUGGUAAAUUUCAUCUAAAGCUAAAUAUUGGCGAGAGACCGAUAGCGAACAAGUACCGUGAGGGAAAGAUGAAAAGAACUUUGAAAAGAGAGUUAAACAGUACGUGAAAUUGUCAAAAGGGAAGCGUUUGACACCAGUGUUGUUUUUCCGAAAAUCAAUUACGAAUGUUUUGUUUUUGAGGAGUUAUGACUUCAUCGGCUUGCUCCUUUCUUUACGAAACUUUCUUAAUGCACUUUUCGGUUAACAAGUCAACAUCAAUUUCUUUUGUUGUAAAAGGGUAUGAGGAAGGUGGCUUUCUUUUCGGAGAAAGUGUUUAUAGCCUUGUAGCCUCUGCAAUCGGAGAGAUUGAGGUCUGCAGCGUAGAUCCUUCGGGGUUAGAUACGUUUGUGCUAAGUUAUAGCUUUUCAUAGACAACUUGUUGACUAUGUUAGUCUUGCUAGCUUACUCGCUUAUGCUACUUUACCUACGCUUAGGAUGUUGACGCGCGUGUGUGCGUG